Molecule: long non-coding RNA, 612 nt
Organism: Monomorium pharaonis (pharaoh ant)
Lineage: Eukaryota; Metazoa; Arthropoda; Insecta; Hymenoptera; Formicidae
Exons: 4
Source: RefSeq, a predicted model, not a curated record
AUUUUGACAAGUUUAUUUUUAAUAUUAAGUAUUAAUUAAGUAAAGGAAUAUUUUUUAAUAUUAUUUUAAACUAUUCUAAUUUCAAUAACAAAAGCUAUACAACACUGGAAAUAGCACCCGGAUCAAAAUUUAUCUACAGUAGCACUUGAGGAUUUAUAUGGAUUAUUUGCAAAAUAACAAACAUUAAAUAAUAAUAAUGAGGGAACACUGUGUGAUUUCGAGGUUAACGUGAUAUUUCAUGGCUUGACAGUUUUAAUCAGUGGAUUUUAUUGUGCCUCAAGUAAUUCCACGAGAAACCUGACAUUUCCGUGUUAAAAGCAAACCGAUAAAAUAUUAAGAGUUUAUCUACUUGUGCUGGGAUUGUCGUGAUACAAAGAUGUUGACUAUCACAAUAAAACGUGACUUGCUGUUUAAAACAUUGGACAAUGAAAAAGCAAAUGAUAGCAAGAAUAGUUUUGACCAAGGUAUACAUGCGUCCGAAGAAAUUAUCUACAAGAUUGACACACCUGCCAACAGAUAUUGUCUGUUGUGCUUGGAGCCUAAGUACUGGACUACUUAUAUCUUUGAAUAAAACAUACAAAAGAACUGCAAUUGGUAAUAAAAAGCAAAACA